UAAUUGAGACAGGGAUCUCAAAAGCAAUUUUCUAUCAUCAGCAGGGUCGUCAGGAUCUGAAUACCAUUGACAUUAAACUGUGGAAGGGUUCUGAAAGGGCGGAUUUGUGGAUGAGAAAUUCAAAUUGAACUUCCUGUUCUGUUUUGAUAGUUACUUGAUCCGUGCCGAUCUGAAUAUCAUUGGCCUUUUCAUGUGGAAGGAAAGGGUGAUAGAUGGUGAAGAUUCACAGACUGAAAUCUCAAAAUCAUGUGCAGAUCGUGAUUAAGUUAACCAGCAUUUGACGAACCAAAGACUGAGAGUCAAUCGGCCAAAGUCCUGCAACACUCUCCCUCACAGCAUUGUCGGUCUAUCAGCACCAAAUGGACUGUGAUUGGUUCGAGACAGCAG
Molecule: non-coding RNA, 387 nt
Organism: Chiloscyllium plagiosum (whitespotted bambooshark)
Lineage: Eukaryota; Metazoa; Chordata; Chondrichthyes; Orectolobiformes; Hemiscylliidae
Source: RefSeq, a predicted model, not a curated record